CAUGCAGUCGAACGGCAGCACGGGUUGCUUGCACCUGGUGGCGCGUGGCGCACGGGUGCGUCAUCCAUCGGCAUGUCCCUGGUCGUGGGGGCUCGCUCGGCGCAAGCCGGCUUCAUCCCGCAUCCGCUCUGUAGGCGGCAAGCGGGGGCCCUUCGGGCCUCGUGCUCCAAGCGCAGCCGAUGUCAGCUUAGCUAGUUGGUGGGGUAAAAGCUCACCAAGGCGACGAUCUGUAGCUGGUCUGAGAGGACGACCAGCCACACUGGGACUGAGACACGGCCCAGACUCCUACGGGAGGCAGCAGUGGGGAAUUUUGGACAAUGGGCGAAAGCCUGAUCCAGCAAUGCCGCAUGUGUGAAGAAGGCCUUCGGGUUGUAAAGCACUUUUGUCCGGGAAGAAAUCCUUUGGGUUAAUACCUCGGGGGGAUGACGGUACCGGAAGAAUAAGCAUCGGCUAACUACGUGCCAGCAGCCCCGGUAAUACGUAGGGUGCAAGCGUUAAUCGGAAUUACUGGGCGUAAAGCGUGCGCAGGCGGUUUUGUAAGACGGAUGUGAAAUCCCCGGACUUAACCUGGGAACUGCAUUCGUGACUGCAUGGCUAGAGUAUGGCAGAGGGGGGUAGAAUUCCACGUGUAGCAGUGAAAUGCGUAGAGAUGUGGAGGAAUACCGAUGGCGAAGGCAGCCCCCUGGGCCAAUACUGACGCUCAUGCACGAAAGCGUGGGGAGCAAACAGGAUUAGAUACUCUGGUAGUCCACGCCCUAAACGAUGUCAACUAGUUGUUGGGGAUUCGUUUCCGUAGUAACGAAGCUAACGCGUGAAGUUGACCGCCUGGGGAGUACGGUCGCAAGAUUAAAACUCAAAGGAAUUGACGGGGACCCGCACAAGCGGUGGAUGAUGUGGAUUAAUUCGAUGCAACGCGAGAAACCUUACCUACCCUUGACAUGUACGGAAUCCUGCUGAGAGGUGGGAGUGCUCGAAAGAGAACCGUAACACAGGUGCUGCAUGGCCGUCGUCAGCUCGUGUCGUGAGAUGUUGGGUUAAGUCCCGCAACGAGCGCAACCCUUGUCCUUAGUUGCUACGCAAGAGCACUCUAGGGAGACUGCCGGUGACAAACCGGAGGAAGGUGGGGAUGACGUCAAGUCCUCAUGGCCCUUAUGGGUAGGGCUUCACACGUCAUACAAUGGUCGGUACAGAGGGCUGCCAAACCGCGAGGUGGAGCUAACCCCAGAAAACCGAUCGUAGUCCGGAUCGCAGUCUGCAACUCGACUGCGUGAAGCUGGAAUCGCUAGUAAUCGCGGAUCAGCAUGUCGCGGUGAAUACGUUCCCGGGUCUUGUACACACCGCCCGUCUCACCAUGGGAGUGGGUUUUGCCAGAAGUAGUAGCCUAACCGUAAGGAGGCGCUACCACGGCAGAUCA
Molecule: ribosomal RNA, 1414 nt
Filed under: uncultured beta proteobacterium
Lineage: Bacteria; Pseudomonadati; Pseudomonadota; Betaproteobacteria
Description: bacterial SSU rRNA
Rfam family: Bacterial small subunit ribosomal RNA
Source: RNAcentral